AGUUUGAUCCUGGCUCAGGAUGAACGCUAGCUACAGGCUUAACACAUGCAAGUCGAGGGGCAGCAUGGUCUUAGCUUGCUAAGGCCGAUGGCGACCGGCGCACGGGUGAGUAACGCGUAUCCAACCUGCCUUACACUCUUGGACAGCCUUCUGAAAGGGAGAUUAAUACAAGAUGUUAUCAUGAGUAAGCAUUUUCGCAUGAUUAAAGGUUUACCGGUGUAAGAUGGGGAUGCGUUCCAUUAGAUAGUAGGCGGGGUAACGGCCCACCUAGUCUUCGAUGGAUAGGGGUUCUGAGAGGAAGGUCCCCCACAUUGGAACUGAGACACGGUCCAAACUCCUACGGGAGGCAGCAGUGAGGAAUAUUGGUCAAUGGACGAGAGUCUGAACCAGCCAAGUAGCGUGAAGGAUGAAGGUUCUAUGGAUUGUAAACUUCUUUUAUACGGGAAUAAACGGAUCCACGUGUGGAUUUUUGCAUGUACCGUAUGAAUAAGGAUCGGCUAACUCCGUGCCAGCAGCCGCGGUAAUACGGAGGAUCCGAGCGUUAUCCGGAUUUAUUGGGUUUAAAGGGAGCGUAGAUGGGUUGUUAAGUCAGUUGUGAAAGUUUGCGGCUCAACCGUAAAAUUGCAAUUGAUACUGGCAGUCUUGAGUACAGUUGAGGUAGGCGGAAUUCGUGGUGUAGCGGUGAAAUGCUUAGAUAUCACGAAGAACUCCGAUUGCGAAGGCAGCUUACUAACCUGUAACUGACAUUGAUGCUCGAAAGUGUGGGUAUCAAACAGGAUUAGAUACCCUGGUAGUCCACACGGUAAACGAUGAAUACUCGCUGUAGGCGAUAUACGGUCUGCGGCCAAGCGAAAGCAUUAAGUAUUCCACCUGGGGAGUACGCCGGCAACGGUGAAACUCAAAGGAAUUGACGGGGGCCCGCACAAGCGGAGGAACAUGUGGUUUAAUUCGAUGAUACGCGAGGAACCUUACCCGGGCUUAAAUUGCAACCGAAUAUGGCGGAAACGCUAUAGCUAGCAAUAGCGGUUGUGAAGGUGCUGCAUGGUUGUCGUCAGCUCGUGCCGUGAGGUGUCGGCUUAAGUGCCAUAACGAGCGCAACCCUUGCCGAUAGUUACUAACAGGUUAUGCUGAGGACUCUGUCGGGACUGCCAUCGUAAGAUGUGAGGAAGGUGG
This 1173-nucleotide ribosomal RNA is filed under the name uncultured Bacteroides sp. RNAcentral's name for it is "bacterial SSU rRNA". It matches the Rfam family "Bacterial small subunit ribosomal RNA", at positions 10 to 1176 of the family's 1533-position model. The record is from RNAcentral. Lineage: Bacteria; Pseudomonadati; Bacteroidota; Bacteroidia; Bacteroidales; Bacteroidaceae.